GUGGUUGUGGCUCAGUGGUAGAGCGCUUGCCUAGCAAGAUGAGGCACUGGGUUCGAUCCUCAGCAUCACA
This 70-nucleotide transfer RNA is filed under the name Marmota marmota marmota (Alpine marmot). It matches the Rfam family "tRNA". From Rfam's summary of the family: Transfer RNA (tRNA) molecules are approximately 80 nucleotides in length. Their secondary structure includes four short double-helical elements and three loops (D, anti-codon, and T loops). Further hydrogen bonds mediate the characteristic L-shaped molecular structure. tRNAs have two regions of fundamental functional importance: the anti-codon, which is responsible for specific mRNA codon recognition, and the 3' end, to which the tRNAs corresponding amino acid is attached (by aminoacyl-tRNA synthetases). tRNAs cope with the degeneracy of the genetic code in two manners: having more than one tRNA (with a specific anti-codon) for a particular amino acid; and 'wobble' base-pairing, i.e. permitting non-standard base-pairing at the 3rd anti-codon position. The record is from Rfam by way of RNAcentral. Lineage: Eukaryota; Metazoa; Chordata; Mammalia; Rodentia; Sciuridae. RNAcentral also lists the same sequence under 1 other name.